RNAcentral lists this ribosomal RNA (446 nucleotides) under Madagascaria erythrocladioides. RNAcentral's name for it is "partial Bacterial large subunit ribosomal RNA". It matches the Rfam family "Bacterial large subunit ribosomal RNA", at positions 1114 to 1662 of the family's 2925-position model. Lineage: Eukaryota; Rhodophyta; Compsopogonophyceae; Erythropeltidales; Erythrotrichiaceae. The record is from RNAcentral.
AGCCAUCCUUUAAAGAAAGCGUAACAGCUCACUGGUCUAAUCAAGCUGUCCUGCGCCGAAGAUGUACCGGGGCUCAAGCCGCCCGCCGAAGCUGAGGAUGCACGCUUGCGUGCAUGGUAGCGGAGCGUUCCGUAAGCCUGCGAAGGGGUCCUGUGAGGGGUCCUGGAGGUAUCGGAAGUGAGAAUGCUGACAUGAGUAGCGACAAAGAGUGUGAGAAACACUCUCGCCGUAAGUCCAAGGGUUCCUGCGCAAGGCUAAUCCGCGCAGGGUGAGUCGGCCCCUAAGACGAGGGUGAAAGCCGUAGUCGAUGGGAAUCAGGUUAAUAUUCCUGAACCUGGUGGUAGUGACGGAUGCCGGAAGUAGUCUCCUCUUACUGGAUUGAGGGGGCUGCCUGGGCGUUCCAGGAAAUAGCUCCACCGUUAAGACCGUACCCGAAACCGACACAG